Molecule: ribosomal RNA, 506 nt
Filed under: uncultured bacterium
Lineage: Bacteria
Description: partial 16S ribosomal RNA
Rfam family: Bacterial small subunit ribosomal RNA
Source: RNAcentral
AGUGAACGCUGGCGGUAGGCCUAACACAUGCAAGUCGAACGGCAGCACAGGAGAGCUUGCUCUCUGGGUGGCGAGUGGCGGACGGGUGAGGAGUACAUCGGAAUCUACUCUGUCGUGGGGGAUAACGUAGGGAAACUUACGCUAAUACCGCAUACGACCUACGGGUGAAAGCAGGGGAUCUUCGGACCUUGCGCGAUUGAAUGAGCCGAUGUCGGAUGAGCUAGUAGGCAGGGUAAAGGCCCACCAAGGCGACGAUCCGUAGCUGGUCUGAGAGGAUGAUCAGCCACACUGGAACUGAGACACGGUCCAGACUCCUACGGGAGGCAGCAGUGGGGAAUAUUGGACAAUGGGCGCAAGCCUGAUCCAGCCAUACCGCGUGGGUGAAGAAGGCCUUCGGGUUGUAAAGCCCUUUUGUUGGGAAAGAAAUCCAGCUGGCUAAUACCCGGUUGGGAUGACGGUACCCAAAGAAUAAGCACCGGCUAACUUCGUGCCAGCCGCCGCCGUAA